This 373-nucleotide ribosomal RNA is filed under the name uncultured organism. Its description in RNAcentral is "partial 16S ribosomal RNA". It matches the Rfam family "Bacterial small subunit ribosomal RNA", at positions 527 to 896 of the family's 1533-position model. The record is from RNAcentral.
GUAGGUGGCAAGCGUUGUCCGGAAUUAUUGGGCGUAAAGCGCGCGCAGGCGGUUCUUUAAGUCUGAUGUGAAAGCCCACGGCUCAACCGUGGAGGGUCAUUGGAAACUGGAGAACUUGAGUACAGAAGAGGAAAGCGGAAUUCCACGUGUAGCGGUGAAAUGCGUAGAGACGUGGAGGAACACCAGUGGCGAAGGCGGCUUUCUGGUCUGUAACUGACGCUGAGGCGCGAAAGCGUGGGGAGCAAACAGGGAUUAGAUACCCUGGUAGUCCACGCCGUAAACGAUGAGUGCUAAGUGUUAGGGGGUAUCCGCCCCCUUAGUGCUGCAGCUAACGCAUUAAGCACUCCGCCUGGGGAGUACGGCCGCAAGGCUG